CUGGCGGCACGCUUAACACAUGCAAGUCGAACGAGCGAAAGAGUGCUUGCACUCUCAAGCUAGUGGCGGACGGGUGAGUAACACGUGAGCAAUCUGCCUUUCGGUGUGGGAUACCAUUUGGAAACGGAUGUUAAUACCGCAUAACAUAACGAAGCCGCAUGACUUUGUUAUCAAAGAUUUAUUGCCGGAAGAUGAGCUCGCGUCUGAUUAGGUAGUUGGUGAGGUAACGGCCCACCAAGCCGACGAUCAGUAGCCGGACUGAGAGGUUAAACGGCCACAUUGGGACUGAGACACGGCCCAGACUCC
RNAcentral lists this ribosomal RNA (306 nucleotides) under uncultured Bacteroidales bacterium. RNAcentral's name for it is "bacterial SSU rRNA". It matches the Rfam family "Bacterial small subunit ribosomal RNA", at positions 36 to 339 of the family's 1533-position model. Lineage: Bacteria; Pseudomonadati; Bacteroidota; Bacteroidia; Bacteroidales. The record is from RNAcentral.